AGAGUUUGAUCAUGGCUCAGAUUGAACGCUGGCGGCAGGCCUAACACAUGCAAGUCGAGCGCGAAAGAUCUUCGGAUUGAGUAGAGCGGCGGACGGGUGAGUAACGCGUAGGAAUCUACCCAGUAGUGGGGGACAACAUGGGGAAACUCAUGCUAAUACCGCAUACGCCCUAUGGGGGAAAGCGGGGGACCUUCGGGCCUCGCGCUAUUGGAUGAGCCUGCGUUGGAUUAGCUUGUUGGUGAGGUAAAGGCUCACCAAGGCGACGAUCCAUAGCUGGUCUGAGAGGAUGAUCAGCCACACCGGGACUGAGACACGGCCCGGACUCCUACGGGAGGCAGCAGUGGGGGAUAUUGCGCAAUGGGCGAAAGCCUGACGCAGCCGUGCCGCGUGUGUGAAGAAGGCCUUCGGGUUGUAAAGCACUUUCAAUUGGGAAGAAAGGUUGUGCGUUAAUAGUGUACAGCUGUGACAUUACCUUUAGAAGAAGCACCGGCUAACUCCGUGCCAGCAGCCGCGGUAAUACGGAGGGUGCGAGCGUUAAUCGGAAUUACUGGGCGUAAAGCGCGCGUAGGCGGUUUGUUAAGUCGGAUGUGAAAGCCCCGGGCUCAACCUGGGAACUGCACCCGAUACUGAUCGACUGGAGUGCGAAAGAGGGAGGUAGAAUUCCACGUGUAGCGGUGAAAUGCGUAGAUAUGUGGAGGAAUACCGGUGGCGAUGGCGGCCUCCUGGCUCGACACUGACGCUGAGGUGCGAAAGCGUGGGGAUCAAACAGGAUUAGAUACCCUGGUAGUCCACGCCGUAAACGAUGUCUACUAGCCGUUGGGAGACUUGAUUUCUUGGUGGCGCAGUUAACGCGAUAAGUAGACCGCCUGGGGAGUACGGCCGCAAGGUUAAAACUCAAAUGAAUUGACGGGGGCCCGCACAAGCGGUGGAGCAUGUGGUUUAAUUCGAUGCAACGCGAAGAACCUUACCAGGCCUUGACAUCCUAGGAAUCCUGCAGAGAUGCGGGAGUGCCUUCGGGAAUCUAGUGACAGGUGCUGCAUGGCUGUCGUCAGCUCGUGUCGUGAGAUGUUGGGUUAAGUCCCGUAACGAGCGCAACCCUUGUCCUUAGUUGCCAGCACGUAAAGGUGGGAACUCUAAGGAGACUGCCGGUGACAAACCGGAGGAAGGUGGGGACGACGUCAAGUCAUCAUGGCCCUUACGGCCUGGGCUACACACGUGCUACAAUGG
This 1227-nucleotide ribosomal RNA is filed under the name metagenome. RNAcentral's name for it is "bacterial SSU rRNA". It matches the Rfam family "Bacterial small subunit ribosomal RNA", at positions 8 to 1233 of the family's 1533-position model. The record is from RNAcentral.